GUCACUUUGCCGGAGUGGUUAACGGGAUCGCCUGCUAACAGCUAAGCGGUUGGGCUUUGCCCGCGAGUGUUCGAAUCGCUCAGGUGACG
This is a non-coding RNA of Paxillus rubicundulus Ve08.2h10, 89 nucleotides long. NCBI's taxonomy places the organism in Eukaryota, Fungi, Basidiomycota, Agaricomycetes, Boletales, Paxillaceae. The record is from Rfam.